This 72-nucleotide ribosomal RNA is filed under the name Colobodontium vulpinum. Its description in RNAcentral is "partial 26S ribosomal RNA". It matches the Rfam family "Eukaryotic large subunit ribosomal RNA", at positions 1 to 73 of the family's 3401-position model. RNAcentral also lists the same sequence under 17 other names. The record is from RNAcentral. Lineage: Eukaryota; Viridiplantae; Streptophyta; Bryopsida; Hypnales; Sematophyllaceae.
GACCUCUAAUCGGAAAAGACUACCCGCUGAGUUUAAGCAUAUCACUAAGCGGAGGAGAAGAAACGAACCAGG